This is a small nuclear RNA of Dromiciops gliroides (monito del monte), 107 nucleotides long. NCBI's taxonomy places the organism in Eukaryota, Metazoa, Chordata, Mammalia, Microbiotheria, Microbiotheriidae. The record is from RefSeq and is a predicted model, not a curated record.
AUGCUCUCUUUGGCAGCACAUAUACUAAAACUGGAACGAUGCAGAGAAGAUUAGCAUGGCCCCUGCCCAAGGAUGACAUGCAAAUUCAUGAAGCAAAAAUUAGUCAU